AAACGAACUUCUCCUGCAUAGAAUAAACCAAUGAAAGUUGAAGAAGAAUUUACUCUGACUUCGUCUCUGAGUCAGUUAUCGUGUGUACAUAAGGCCAUCGUUAUCACGGUCUUCAAAGACCGUUUCUUAGUUUUAUUAACAUUUAAGAAAAAAGGAAAUUAGCUUAAAAUGCAAAAGAAUGUUUCUUAUUUAGGGAUAAUAAGAGACGGUUUUGUGAGACACGUGUUGUCCUUUGGGCCUUGUCUCUUUGAGAAGAGAGAGAGAGAGAGUUGAAGAUCGAUGGCUGAAGGUGCGAUGAUCCCCAGCAACUGAAGAAGAGAAGCCAGAGCUUGAGGCGGAGGCUACUUCUCUGGACCCUUUCUUCGAUGCCUAUCAUCAGGCAGAAGCUGAAUCCUGGCCUCCAACGUCACGAGAUGUCUCUCCUCCGCCUCUUCGAGACUGUCUCCAAUGACUGCGUCACACUUGCCCUCAUCCAGCGGAGGACUUCAGUGCUAGUUAACUUACUGAAACACUUAAUGGGUUUAUACAGGAUGAGCUGCGUGAUGUUGUUAUGCUCGUGUUUGCUAACAAACAGGAUCUUCCAAAUGCCAUGAACGAAGCUGAGAUCACCGAUAAGCUUGGUCUCCACUCUCUCCGUCAGCGUCACUGGCUCAAUCUUCGUUUUGAUUUGUUCUCUUGCUUAUAACGUUUCUCUGAUCAAUUUGUUUCUCUUGCUUAUAACGUUUCUCUUGCCAAACCGCAAUUUGUUUAAUUUAUUUUCUUCUUAUAUGUGUGCAAGUUGUAAUACUUUCUUAUGUGUUCUUGUUGCUUGAUUCUUGCAGGCGUAGAGGAAAAGAUUGUGGUUGAGCUGAUUUUGCUGGGCAAAUCUGGAUGCAGGGGCAAACAUUAUCUGAUUUUUUUCUUUAUUGUUCUGUUCUUUUUUUUUGGUUUCGGGUAUGUGGAUUUGAUUUUGUGAUCGUUGUUCUGAUUGUGCAAGGAGGAGUCUCUUGCACCUAGAACAUAGAAAUUACCUUUUUAUAUAGUUUGUAGUCAAAGAUUUACUCUACUUAUUUCUGCUUCACGUUUCAUUGUUGA
This is an RNA transcript of Brassica oleracea var. oleracea, 1074 nucleotides long. It is a transcript of the gene named ADP-ribosylation factor-like protein 1, with no coding region annotated. The record is from RefSeq and is a predicted model, not a curated record. The transcript has 2 exons. Lineage: Eukaryota; Viridiplantae; Streptophyta; Magnoliopsida; Brassicales; Brassicaceae.